AUCCAUCCAUCCACUGAUCCAUCUCUUCAUCAUUCAUAUUCUGCGUGCUUAUUAUUUCCCAAGUACUAGGUUAGGUACAGGAUAAAUGGAAAUCGAUAAUGUCGUCCUUAAGAAGUGUUGUGCAAAAAAAAAAAAAUAAUAAUUGUGGAAGAAACCUGUAAUUUGUCAGGUUAAGGAAUUAAAAAGGAGUUAUGCAAUAGAUAGGGUGAGGUUGAGGGUUGGAUUACAAAUGGAAUAAAGGUUGCCCACAUCUGAGUGUUGCCUGGAAGAUUAAAUGAGAAAUAUGCAAGACGAAGUGCACACGGCAUCUCUUCCUUCAUCCAGGCCCCGAGUGAGGUCCAGGGAUGCAAUGUCACGGCAUAGCCCCUGCCUCAGGAGACUUUAUACCAAUGUGGAUUGUUUCUGCAUUCUCCUUUACACGUGUGUCUAAAUCAUUCUGAGGAUAAUUUUGUGGUCAACUUCAUUUCUACCUGAAUGACAAAUUCCCUAUAUUCAAUUCCCAUGAUGCAAAAAUAGCAUUUAGUUUUAUUGGGCCUAAGAUGAUCUCUCUGCAAUAUUAAAAGGUGUCCCCUAGAGUAAUUUUUAAGUAUCUGAGGUUUUGUUAAGAUCAUUCUUUUCAUAAUUCAUAUCUUCUUUAACCUUUGUUAUUCCAGAUUUAAGAGAUGUUUUCAAGUCGUGUUCUCAGAAGCUUCUGAUCCUUAUCCUUCUGAUCAUUUGAGUUAUACCUGUCUGACUCUACUAUGUCUCCCUGCUGCUUUGAUAAAAGACAAUUUCACAUACUGUGGAGGUCAUCAGUCAAUCUAAUGUUUAUUAAUCAUCCCCUCAUUUCACAUGGCUUUCUCUGGACCCCUUGGGAGGAGACAAGGUAAUAAAUCCUAUCCUCCAUCCCAGGUUCAUGAUCAUUUGGAUAGACAAGGUAUAUAUAGAGAAAAUAUUUAAUAAUUAGAGUCCUGAAGGAGGGACUUUGCAGUGAACUUCAACAUCUCAAGCCUCCUUCUUCUCCCACUUCCAAACCACCCUGAAUCACGCGGGAGAAGUGAAAAUAUCUUUUAAAGACAUCAAGAGAAAAAUAUUUCACAAGCCUGUUCGAUAACUUUCUGAAAACACUCAUUGUUCAGGGUGCUGCUUAAAUGAUCUUUCUGCUUCUGCCGGUGGCAAGGCCCCUCCAGCUCUGAAAGCAUGCAGAGGACAGCCCAUUGUUCCCUUAACGCCUGAGCAUCAAUCACCUGGUCACCCAACACUCAGCCAGCUCUGCGCAGAAUGUUUCUAAGUGAUUUUGACUGCAAGACUUUUCGCCAUUGGGUCCACGUGGGAACCUCUCCCUCUGGCUCUCCUUACACCUCCACAUGGGUGGACACAUGGCCCCGGCCUCUGGAGGGAUGGAGAGGGAGGGUGCUUCUGGAGAGAGGAGAUCUGAUGGGGCUGGGGUCUCUCCAACCCUGCACGUGGCACCCUGUGAACUCACAGCCUUUCAUACCAGCUCCUUCCCUGGUCCUUAGCCCUUUCGUCAGUGCGGUUUAGGGCAAUGGUCACCUGAACGUUUGUUUUGACAGUCACAAAUUCCCAGAAACAGGGAAACGGAACUCGCUAGCGACGUUGUGUGGAUGAGUUUGCUUUAGGCUGGAACAAGCCUUGCCUUUGGGUAACGGGCUUCCGGGUGCGCCCUGGCCGGCUGUGUGCGCGCGGAAGGCGGUCACCUGGGCCCCCUGGGCGCGCGCGCCGCCCGCCCGCCCGCCUGCCCCGCGCGCACCUGCAGGAGGCUCUGGCGCGCUCCCUCCCUCCCUGGCUGCGCUGCGAAGGGCGCGGGAGAGGGGGAUUCUAGCAGCGCUGAAUCACUUUCCCACAGCCUCUGCGUGGGGAGCGCUUCCUCUGAUGCACGCCCUAUUUGUACUUCCUGAGUGCGCGUGGACUGCGGGCCCUGCUCGCCGCAGACUUGCCCGAAAUAGCAGCGCGCGGGCUCGGCUCCCCGCGCCGCCCGCAGCAUCUGCCUCCCCCUCCCGCCUCGUGGGCAACCGGGCGCGGCUGAGUCACGGUGACACUGAGUCACUCGCCAGCGUCAGGAAAUGCCUUUUUUAGACUUCCAGUUUGAAAUGGAGCAGCAGGAAGAAGAAACAGAGCGCUCCCGGGAAAUGUUGAAAAAGCAGAGCCCCAUUCAUCACAGCACAGGUUGAAGAGACCAGCUCUCCCCGAUAUUGGCAGAAUUUCCAUCACAGGAAUAAGCUUUUGAAAAGCAAACUGACAGAUGAGAGCAGUGAAAUCCACUGAGUGGGCCGUGGAGAACAGCUGUGUUUGAGAGGCAUCUCAGCGAUGUGAAUGAGGCCAGGAGGAGCCAUGAAGACGGCACUGCCUGUGGGGCCCCCGAUAAAUGAUGGCACUGAGCAAUUGGCAGGACUGUGGGCAUGGGAGGGGUCCCUAGGCCCCACCCCCCUCUGCUCCUGUUUGUGUAAUUAACAGCCCGCUUCCUAUCAGGUGCUCUGCCUUCAGUGCUCUCUGCUGCGGCUCUUACCAGCGAGGACUGGAGGGGCGGCUCCUUUACCUGCCCUGUCCUGGUUUUUGCUCCCGCCUGCCCCGUGAGCCAGGGGAUGCACUCACAGCUGCUCUUUUUGAUGUAUAAAGUGUGUUUGAACAUUAUGCCAAAUAUCAAAAUGUGAAGGACUAAUCCAGGAUGCAAAAACGUUAUGGGGGGUUGUAAAUACGAACUAUACAACAGUUUAGGAUGCAAUUAUGAGUGUAAACUGUGUGCCUUAUUUAUACUUCAUUGUCUCCAGCUUCUCAGAUAAAGUUUUGAUGUGUUGUACAGUGGAAUAUCUUAGAUACUUUUUGGAAAGUUUUUACAUAAGUUAUAUCACAAUUAAAAUGUUGAAUUUCAAAAAAAAAAAGAGGCAUUCGUUUGAGAUUGCCUGGGGUCCUGUGGUUUGCUGAAUAAGACUCAGUGUGGGGAACUGUAGACUCUUCCUGAGAAGCUCAAUUCCAAAAGGAAAAGGAAAAUGCCGACUGGGAUUCCCUGACAGGCAUUGGUUAGCUGCUGUCUCUGUCCACUGAUAACUGGAGCUUUCAGAAAGGCAUCCUCUGCAGCCCAGCAUCAGCUUCUCCGCCUGCUGUUCCCUCCGGGAGGCGGCCCGCACCUCAGAAGCAGACACCGUUGUGCCUGGGUCCGGUGGCGUCUGGCCAACAGGGGCUGGAUGGGGGGCAACAGCAGCAGGAGGAGGACAGAGGAGGUGUUUACUCAGGGUCUCCUGUUAGGGUGCUGUGGGGUGUUGGGUUUCUCUGCUGGAAGCUGCAGCUCUGGUCACCACCUUCUCAAACUAUAGGGCUGCCCACCGGGCAUGGUGGCUCACGCCUGCAAUCCCAGCACUUUGGGAGGCCG
This 3367-nucleotide long non-coding RNA is filed under the name Homo sapiens (human). Its description in RNAcentral is "HSALNT0375229". The record is from RNAcentral. Lineage: Eukaryota; Metazoa; Chordata; Mammalia; Primates; Hominidae.